RNAcentral lists this ribosomal RNA (253 nucleotides) under uncultured bacterium. RNAcentral's name for it is "partial 16S ribosomal RNA". It matches the Rfam family "Bacterial small subunit ribosomal RNA", at positions 524 to 776 of the family's 1533-position model. The record is from RNAcentral.
UACAGAGGGGGCAAGCGUUGUUCGGAAUUACUGGGCGUAAAGGGCGCGUAGGCGGCCCGCUAAGUCGAACGUGAAAUCCCCGAGCUCAACUCGGGAACUGCGUCCGAUACUGGCGGGCUUGAAUCCGGGAGAGGGAUGCGGAAUUCCCAGUGUAGUGGUGAAAUACGUAGAGAUUGGGAAGAACACCAGUGGCGAAGGCGGCUAUCUGGACGGUUUCUGACACUAAGACUCGAAAGCGUGGGGAGCAAACAGG